This 175-nucleotide ribosomal RNA is filed under the name uncultured bacterium. Its description in RNAcentral is "partial 16S ribosomal RNA". It matches the Rfam family "Bacterial small subunit ribosomal RNA", at positions 191 to 353 of the family's 1533-position model. The record is from RNAcentral.
AGUCGCAAGACCAAAGAGGGGGACCUUCGGGCCUCUUGCCAUCAGAUGUGCCCAGAUGGGAUUAGCUAGUAGGUGGGGUAACGGCUCACCUAGGCGCGAUCCCUAGCUGGUCUGAGAGGAUGACCAGCCACACUGGAACUGAGACACGGUCCAGACUCCUACGGGAGGCAGCAUG